AAAUUGAAGAGUUUGAUCAUGGCUCAGAUUGAACGCUGGCGGCAGGCCUAACACAUGCAAGUCGAACGGUAACAGGAAGAAGCUUGCUUCUUUGCUGACGAGUGGCGGACGGGUGAGUAAUGUCUGGGAAACUGCCUGAUGGAGGGGGAUAACUACUGGAAACGGUAGCUAAUACCGCAUAAUGUCGCAAGACCAAAGAGGGGGACCUUCGGGCCUCUUGCCAUCGGAUGUGCCCAGAUGGGAUUAGCUUGUUGGUGGGGUAACGGCUCACCAAGGCGACGAUCCCUAGCUGGUCUGAGAGGAUGACCAGCCACACUGGAACUGAGACACGGUCCAGACUCCUACGGGAGGCAGCAGUGGGGAAUAUUGCACAAUGGGCGCAAGCCUGAUGCAGCCAUGCCGCGUGUAUGAAGAAGGCCUUCGGGUUGUAAAGUACUUUCAGCGGGGAGGAAGGGAGUAAAGUUAAUACCUUUGCUCAUUGACGUUACCCGCAGAAGAAGCACCGGCUAACUCCGUGCCAGCAGCCGCGGUAAUACGGAGGGUGCAAGCGUUAAUCGGAAUUACUGGGCGUAAAGCGCACGCAGGCGGUUUGUUAAGUCAGAUGUGAAAUCCCCGGGCUCAACCUGGGAACUGCAUCUGAUACUGGCAAGCUUGAGUCUCGUAGAGGGGGGUAGAAUUCCAGGUGUAGCGGUGAAAUGCGUAGAGAUCUGGAGGAAUACCGGUGGCGAAGGCGGCCCCCUGGACGAAGACUGACGCUCAGGUGCGAAAGCGUGGGGAGCAAACAGGAUUAGAUACCCUGGUAGUCCACGCCGUAAACGAUGUCGACUUGGAGGUUGUGCCCUUGAGGCGUGGCUUCCGGAGCUAACGCGUUAAGUCGACCGCCUGGGGAGUACGGCCGCAAGGUUAAAACUCAAAUGAAUUGACGGGGGCCCGCACAAGCGGUGGAGCAUGUGGUUUAAUUCGAUGCAACGCGAAGAACCUUACCUGGUCUUGACAUCCACGGAAGUUUUCAGAGAUGAGAAUGUGCCUUCGGGAACCGUGAGACAGGUGCUGCAUGGCUGUCGUCAGCUCGUGUUGUGAAAUGUUGGGUUAAGUCCCGCAACGAGCGCAACCCUUAUCCUUUGUUGCCAGCGGUCCGGCCGGGAACUCAAAGGAGACUGCCAGUGAUAAACUGGAGGAAGGUGGGGAUGACGUCAAGUCAUCAUGGCCCUUACGACCAGGGCUACACACGUGCUACAAUGGCGCAUACAAAGAGAAGCGACCUCGCGAGAGCAAGCGGAUCUCAUAAAGUGCGUCGUAGUCCGGAUUGGAGUCUGCAACUCGACUCCAUGAAGUCGGAAUCGCUAGUAAUCGUGGAUCAGAAUGCCACGGUGAAUACGUUCCCGGGCCUUGUACACACCGCCCGUCACACCAUGGGAGUGGGUUGCAAAAGAAGUAGGUAGCUUAACCUUCGGGAGGGCGCUUACCACUUUGUGAUUCAUGACUGGGGUGAAGUCGUAACAAGGUAACCGUAGGGGAACCUGCGGUUGGAUCACCUCCUUA
RNAcentral lists this ribosomal RNA (1542 nucleotides) under Escherichia coli. Its description in RNAcentral is "bacterial SSU rRNA". It matches the Rfam family "Bacterial small subunit ribosomal RNA". Lineage: Bacteria; Pseudomonadati; Pseudomonadota; Gammaproteobacteria; Enterobacterales; Enterobacteriaceae. The record is from RNAcentral.